GGGGAUGUAGCUCAGUGGUAGAGCGCAUGCUUCGCAUGUAUGAUGUCCUGGGUUCAUCCCCAGCUUCUCCA
Molecule: transfer RNA, 71 nt
Filed under: Dallia pectoralis (Alaska blackfish)
Lineage: Eukaryota; Metazoa; Chordata; Actinopteri; Esociformes; Umbridae
Description: tRNA-OTHER
Rfam family: tRNA
About the family: Transfer RNA (tRNA) molecules are approximately 80 nucleotides in length.
Source: RNAcentral